AUGAAGCCCCAGAGCCCCAAGUUCAAAGGCUUUGUCAGCAACUUAAGUGAAGGACCCUGGGGCUUCCUGAGGUUGUUGCUGGCAGCUGUAGGGAGAGCUGUCCAGGCCCUGCUUUACUGGAAGGCUCACACCAGCAGACCGCAAGGCCAGGAAAUGGACCUCCGAGCAAAAGGUUGGAGAUUGUUUUUUCAUCUGGCUUUUCCGCUUUCAACUCCGUUACAAAACUGAAGUCAACAUUUUCACAGCUUGUCAAUGGAAACCUGAUUAUGGCUCCUCAUCCAAGAAGAAAAAGUAAAAUUGAUUUGAAUAGAGGACAAGAUGGUACAGAAAAUGCACUCAGAUUUAUCAGACUUUCCCAGCUUCCUGCUGUUUGCCUUACAAAACAGAGCAAAUCUCACAUUCCUCCCGUUUAGUCCCAAAACACUUCUAGGGAAAUUCUGUCACAUGACAGCCAAGGAUACCCAAAUUUAGAGCCGUGCGUGCUGAAUGGGGACACACGAUCACUUUAAAAAGAAUGAGACUGUGAACUAUUAUUUCUUCCAGAUGGAUAUGAAGUCAUUUUCAAAGAAAUAAAGGCAUUGAUUUAUUUGGGGUCUUGUCAACAACAGUUCAAAGUGUGCAGUAUCAAGGAGAAGGAAGAAGCUUAGUCUUCUAGGAAAUGAUGAUGGACUCAGUGAUGGGAAUUAAGACAAUUUUCUAUAUAGCCAUGAGUUAAUGAAACUUAAGCUUGGCUGGGGGGGCCUCACUUGCACAGGCCCCCCACCCCACCCGCUAGUGCUGGGGAUUCAUUACUGGUGGGAAGGGACAGCAGGUUACAAUCAGGAAGUGUUUCUCUCUAAGCAUUUCUGGUAAAGUACUUAAUCUCAGAAGAAAAGGACGUAGAUCUCUGUGGCUCCAGUCAUUUGUUGUGAUUUAUUUCCUUUUUCCAUAUAUUUAUUUUCAUACCAUCUUUUAUGUUCAUAACUGUAUAUUCUUUUCCUUAAAGAGAGUGCCUAAAAUUGUAUAAGCUUCAGGCCUCACAUAAAAUCUGGCUCCACCAUUAUUUAAGAAUGAAUAAUUUUUAAUUUCAAUGUAUUGCCUAGUCUCAGGUCCUCAUUUCCUUAAUUGGUGGCUCCCAUAUUACAUUAAAACAUUUCCUUCAUUCAGUCAAGCUAUGGAUUGAACAUUUAGAGAGGGGUGUGUGUGUCUGUGUGUGUGUGUGUGUGUGUGUGUGUGUGUGUGUGUGUGUGUUGGCGGGGGAAUCAGUGAUAUUAGGGCUUGGAAGGCAGGGCUUUCUCCUUCUACUAGAAAAUAGACUGUUACAUUUUUUCCAUGCUAAAACAUUGACAUGUCCUAAACUGGCAGCAUGUUUGUUGUUCUUCAGAGUUAUGGACACAGACUGAUACUUCAAAUAAACCGCCACCUCUACCCACCCUGUCCCAGGAAUUUGCCAGACCAAGAGAUGCUGUUAGAAAGAGCUUGUCACUGAAUCUC
Molecule: long non-coding RNA, 1473 nt
Filed under: Macaca fascicularis (crab-eating macaque)
Lineage: Eukaryota; Metazoa; Chordata; Mammalia; Primates; Cercopithecidae
Description: lncRNA (ENSMFAG00000060471.1)
Source: RNAcentral